UGGGGAAUAUUGCACAAUGGGCGCAAGCCUGAUGCAGCCAUGCCGCGUGUGUGAAGAAGGCCUUCGGGUUGUAAAGCACUUUCAGCGAGGAGGAAGGUGGGUGAACUUAAUACGUUCAUCAAUUGACGUUACUCGCAGAAGAAGCACCGGCUAACUCCGUGCCAGCAGCCGCGGUAAUACGGAGGGUGCAAGCGUAAUCGGAAUUACUGGCGUAAAGCGCACGCAGCGGUUUGUUAAGUCAGAUGUGAAAUCCCCCGGGCUCAACCUGGGAACUGCAUUUGAAACUGGCAAGCUAGAGGUCUCGUAGAGGGGGGUAGAAUUCCAGGUGUAGCGGUGAAAUGCGUAGAGAUCUGGAGGAAUACCGGUGGCGAAGGCGGCCCCCAUGGACGAAGACUGACGCUCAGGUGCGAAAAGCGUGGGGAGCAAACAGGAUUAGAUA
This 439-nucleotide ribosomal RNA is filed under the name uncultured bacterium. RNAcentral's name for it is "partial 16S ribosomal RNA". It matches the Rfam family "Bacterial small subunit ribosomal RNA", at positions 355 to 784 of the family's 1533-position model. The record is from RNAcentral.